Unclassified non-coding RNA from Cebus imitator (Panamanian white-faced capuchin), 89 nucleotides. It matches the Rfam family "Y RNA". From Rfam's summary of the family: Y RNAs are components of the Ro ribonucleoprotein particle (Ro RNP), in association with Ro60 and La proteins. The Y RNAs and Ro60 and La proteins are well conserved, but the function of the Ro RNP is not known. NCBI's taxonomy places the organism in Eukaryota, Metazoa, Chordata, Mammalia, Primates, Cebidae. The record is from Ensembl.
GGCUGGUCCCAGUGCAGUGGUGUUUACAACUAAUUGAUCACAACCCAGGACAGAUUUCUUUGCUCCUUUGCUACUCUGACUGGCCUUAA